UGCAAAAAACGAUUCAAUAGAUGAUGUCAUGAAAAAAAAAAGGAUCAAUCAUUAUUUCGCACAAAAAAAUACAACCCAAACCAGAUAGAUACUGCGCUUUAACCCAGUUCUCUUUUUAAAAGGCUUAUUAGUACUCUGGGACUGCCUGAACUUUAUUUCUUAUUCUCUCCUCAAAGUAGAGCAUAAUGAAAGAUUCUGCCAUUUUACUCUAAUUUAAUAGUCUCCCGCUGCAUGGAGACUCCCAACAUCAUC
RNAcentral lists this long non-coding RNA (252 nucleotides) under Elaeis guineensis (African oil palm). RNAcentral describes it as "long non-coding RNA (EGUI_LNC026892)". Lineage: Eukaryota; Viridiplantae; Streptophyta; Magnoliopsida; Arecales; Arecaceae. The record is from RNAcentral.